AGUAGUUUGGUCAUGCCUUUGGUAUGUACUGGUCUCACUGAUUCCUCCUUCCUGAUGAACCUUACUGCCAUUAAUUUGGUGUUUUGGGGUAUUUGGACUGUUACUUUGAAAAAAUUAGAGUGUUUAAAGCAAGCUAACGCUUGAAUACAUUAGCAUGGAAUAAUGAAAUAGGACGUUCGAUCCUAUUUUGUUGGUUUCUAGGAUUGACGUA
This 211-nucleotide ribosomal RNA is filed under the name Campeiostachys nutans. RNAcentral describes it as "Elymus nutans partial small subunit ribosomal RNA". It matches the Rfam family "Eukaryotic small subunit ribosomal RNA", at positions 630 to 864 of the family's 1831-position model. Lineage: Eukaryota; Viridiplantae; Streptophyta; Magnoliopsida; Poales; Poaceae. The record is from RNAcentral.